This is a long non-coding RNA of Coccinella septempunctata (seven-spotted ladybird), 158 nucleotides long. RefSeq lists it as uncharacterized. The record is from RefSeq and is a predicted model, not a curated record. The transcript is spliced from 2 exons. NCBI's taxonomy places the organism in Eukaryota, Metazoa, Arthropoda, Insecta, Coleoptera, Coccinellidae.
UUUUUAUGUAUGCCUUCCUGUCUUGAAUGCCAUCAUUAAUUUCCCUGCUUAUUGGUUUGGUGUUUUGCAGUUAUAACUUGAAACUCUGUAUUUCGAGUCCUGAAGAAGGUCCCCAUCGGGAUUGAAACGUCGACUAGAUGAAAUAAAGAAGAGUUAUU